GGAGAGGGAGAGGGAGAGAGAGAGGACAACUUUCUUUCUGCAAAAAUGUUUUAUACUCACCUGUUAACAGGUGGCAGGUGUUACGAGUCAGAUGCCAACCAAUAUAAACAACUCAGUUUAUUGCAAAAACAACACAAAAGAGCCAAAGAAACAACCAAAAGGAGGCUCAAAACACUUUCUCUUCAGUGUGAGGUAACAAUGUCCAAAAAGAACUCAAAAGACCCAAAGUUGGGAUAUAAUUUGGAUUAUCCUGGGAAAUAAUCCAGAUUAAAACAAACUUAGUUGAAAAGGCUGGAAACUCGCUCCACCUGCUGGUUGGAGCUAAACAAACACAUGAAAGCUACUAACAGUAACCCACAGUGACCAACGACCACACAAUGCCCCAAAACGUUGCUAAAGCAAAACCACAUUGUAAAGGAGAAGUCACAGCUGCCAGGUCCGGUCCGCGUCAUUAGGGAAAAGUCACAGGCGUCGAGUUCUAGUCCAAGUCGUCAGGGAGAAGUCACAGUCACCAAAUUCCAGUCCAAGGUAAAGACAAAGAGCCAAAGCGACGGAGGCAAGCCAGCAGGUCCCAAAGCAGUCUUCCAAAUACGUCUUCUGAAACAGAGAUCCCAAAAAGCGCCCAACAAAACACCUUGCUGAUUGCAAAGUUACGUUAGCAACAAACUUACUUUUAUCUACAAGUCCUCCUCUGAACUUGAGCCAGCCAACGCCCCAUCCACAGCUGGUUGCUGCAAAUCCUCAUCAGAGCUGGAGUCACCCAACGCCCCACCUCCAGCUGCAGCCCUUCUACGAUCUCUCCAGCCAGACCACCUUCUAUCCAAACCCAUAACUCCCCAGGAUCCAUCUGUAUCUUCUCAGUGCCAUCCCUCAAAUGUACCACUGCUUGUGGGCUCCUCAAGAAUCUCCCAGAUCUCCUGAACCAUAGUCCAAUCCAUCACCUCACUCCCAGAGUCGGACACCCCAUCCUCCUGACUCCCAGUCCCACAAUCCCCUUCAAAACCCUCAAAGGUAUCAUUAUCAGAGGGCUCCAUAAGUACUGUAUUUCCCAGAUUCUCUUCCUUUGUUGCUCCUCAUCAGAGUCUUGCUCACGAGCAUUUUCCUGCCUCUUCUAAUACAACUAGUAGGAUCUCUACUUGAAGACUCCAUCACAACAGCAGGUGAAUGUUCUCUGAAAUGAAAUAAAUCUGCAUCCCCAAAUAAUUUGGAAAUUCUUUUAAAAAAUUGACUGUCAUAUGAAAAAGGUAACACUAAAACCCUUAACAUCUAGGAUUUUGUUUGUGAAGGGAUUUUUUCUCUGCAUGGAGGAGGACCAUAUGACCCUUCCACCCAUUUCUUCAAAUUGCAGAAAGCUUUGCAUUGUUGCUUUGAGUUUCUAAGAGAACUGUUGCUUCCACUGUGGUUCUGUUCAAAGAGACUGCUAAUAUAGGUAGGGUUUCCAGUUCAGGAUUAAACUGGGCCCUGAAGUUUCCCAGCCAGAAUCAGAGACCUCGGGGUGCUGCUGAUGACUUUGUAAGGAUCCUGAAACUCCCAUCUCACUCGCUAUCUUCUCUAUUGAAAUGGCUUUAGGGGUGAUAACACCUAGCAACCCAGGAAACCACUGUGUGUAAAUUGCAAUCUUUGGAUUCAGAUGUCUAUACCUAAAUAACUUUCCAGGCUCACUGACAAAAGUUAUUCAUAUACUUGUAGUAUUAGAAAAAUAAAAUAAAAAUCUUUUUGCAUUGAAAUCAAGAUAUUUUCAUUGUGUACAAAACACAGUCAUAAUGACUGAUUUGUAAACAAUUAUUAACUAAAACAGCCAAUCCAUAGACUUACAACCUAAUUAACGAUAAGUAUGUUAGGGAGAAGCUUAGAGAAAAGAUAGAAGAAUGACAUCUAUGCUAGAUAUCCAUAUUGUCAGUGUAAGCUUCUUUUUUUCAAAUUUAAAUGUGAUUAAACUAUUUAUAAAUUUUAUAAACCACAUUCAUUAAAGCCCCCCCCCC
Molecule: long non-coding RNA, 1982 nt
Filed under: Anolis carolinensis (green anole)
Lineage: Eukaryota; Metazoa; Chordata; Lepidosauria; Squamata; Anolidae
Description: lncRNA (ENSACAG00000042382.1)
Source: RNAcentral